Molecule: transfer RNA, 72 nt
Filed under: Trialeurodes vaporariorum (greenhouse whitefly)
Lineage: Eukaryota; Metazoa; Arthropoda; Insecta; Hemiptera; Aleyrodidae
Description: tRNA-Gly for anticodon ACC
Rfam family: tRNA
About the family: Transfer RNA (tRNA) molecules are approximately 80 nucleotides in length.
Source: RNAcentral
GGCAGUGUAGCCUAGUGGUAAAGUGCUGGACCACCAUUCGGGAGGUCGUGGGUUCGAACCCCACCACCGGCA